CCUACGAGAGGCAGCAGUGGGGAAUAUUGGACAAUGGGGGGAACCCUGAUCCAGCGACGCCGCGUGAGUGAAGAAGUAUUUCGGUAUGUAAAGCUCUAUCAGCAGGGAAGAAAGAAAUGACGGUACCUGACUAAGAAGCCGCGGCUAACUACGUGCCAGCAGCCGCGGUAAUACGUAGGGGGCAAGCGUUAUCCGGAUUUACUGGGUGGAAAGGGAGCGUAGACGGCGAUGCAAGUCUGAAGUGAAAGGCUGGGGCCUAACCUCCGGACUGCUUUGGAAACUGUAUGGCUGGAGUGCAGAAGAGGUAAGUGGAAUUCCUAGUGUAGCGGUGAAAUGCGUAGAUAUUAGGAGGAACACCAGUGGCGAAAGCGGCUUACUGGACUGUAACUGACGUUGAGGCUCGAAAGCGUGGGGAGCAAACAGGAUUAGAUACCCUAGUAGUC
This 443-nucleotide ribosomal RNA is filed under the name uncultured bacterium. RNAcentral's name for it is "partial 16S ribosomal RNA". It matches the Rfam family "Bacterial small subunit ribosomal RNA", at positions 338 to 795 of the family's 1533-position model. The record is from RNAcentral.